UUAGCGACUAAGCGUACACGGUGGAUGCCCUGGCAGUCAGAGGCGAUGAAGGACGUGCUAAUCUGCGAAAAGCGCCGGCGAGGUGAUAUGAACCCUUGACCCGGCGAUGUCCGAAUGGGGAAACCCAGUGUGAUUCCGUCACACUAUCGUUAACUGAAUACAUAGGUUAACGAGGCGAACCGGGGGAACUGAAACAUCUAAGUACCCCGAGGAAAAGAAAUCAACCGAGAUUCCCCCAGUAGCGGCGAGCGAACGGGGAGCAGCCCGGAGUCUGAAUCAGCUUGUGUGUUAGUGGAACGGUCUGGAAAGUCCGACGGUACAGGGUGAUAGUCCCGUACACGAAAGCACACAGGUUGUGAACUCGAAGAGUAGGGCGGGACACGUGGUAUCCUGUCUGAAUAUGGGGGGACCAUCCUCCAAGGCUAAAUACUCCUGACUGACCGAUAGUGAACCAGUACCGUGAGGGAAAGGCGAAAAGAACCCCGGCGAGGGGAGUGAAAAAGAACCUGAAACCGUGUACGUACAAGCAGUGGGAGCCUCUUUAUGGGGUGACUGCGUACCUUUUGUAUAAUGGGUCAGCGACUUAUAUUCUGUAGCAAGGUUAACCGUAUAGGGGAGCCGAAGGGAAACCGAGUCUUAACUGGGCGUUAAGUUGCAGGGUAUAGACCCGAAACCCGGUGAUCUAGCCAUGGGCAGGUUGAAGGUUGGGUAACACUAACUGGAGGACCGAACCGACUAAUGUUGAAAAAUUAGCGGAUGACCUGUGGCUGGGGGUGAAAGGCCAAUCAAACCGGGAGAUAGCUGGUUCUCCCCGAAAGCUAUUUAGGUAGCGCCUCGUGAACUCAUCUUCGGGGGUAGAGCACUGUUUCGGCUAGGGGGCCAUCCCGGCUUACCAACCCGAUGCAAACUGCGAA
Molecule: ribosomal RNA, 914 nt
Filed under: Pantoea sp.
Lineage: Bacteria; Pseudomonadati; Pseudomonadota; Gammaproteobacteria; Enterobacterales; Erwiniaceae
Also listed under: 1 other name
Description: partial 23S ribosomal RNA
Rfam family: Bacterial large subunit ribosomal RNA
Source: RNAcentral